Molecule: ribosomal RNA, 432 nt
Filed under: uncultured bacterium
Lineage: Bacteria
Description: partial 16S ribosomal RNA
Rfam family: Bacterial small subunit ribosomal RNA
Source: RNAcentral
AACGAACGCUGGCGGCAGGCCUAACACAUGCAAGUCGAGCGAGGACUUCGGUCCUAGCGGCGGACGGGGGAGUAACGCGUGGGAACGUGCCCUUUGCUUCGGAAUAGCACUGGGAAACUGGGGGUAAUACCGGAUGAGCCCUUUGGGGGAAAGAUUUAUCGGCGAAGGAUCGGCCCGCGUUGGAUUAGGUAGUUGGUGGGGUAAUGGCCUACCAAGCCGACGAUCCAUAGCUGGUUUGAGAAGAUGAUCAGCCACCCUGGGACUGAGACACGGCCCAGACUCCUACGGGAGGCCGCAGUGGGAAUCUUAGACAAUGGGGGAAACCCUGAUCUAGCCAUGCCGCGUGAGCGAUGAAGGCCUUAGGGUUGUAAAGCUCUUUCAGCUGGGAAGAUAAUGACGGUACCAGCAGAAGAAGCCCCGGCUAACUCCGUG